RNAcentral lists this ribosomal RNA (516 nucleotides) under uncultured bacterium. RNAcentral's name for it is "partial 16S ribosomal RNA". It matches the Rfam family "Bacterial small subunit ribosomal RNA", at positions 28 to 523 of the family's 1533-position model. The record is from RNAcentral.
GAUGAACGCUGGCGGCGUGCCUAAUACAUGCAAGUCGAACGCAUUGAGAAAAGUGCUUGCACUUUUCAAUUUGAGUGGCGAACGGGUGAGUAACACGUGGGCAACCUACCUGAUAGCGGGGGAUAACGAGUGGAAACAUUCGCUAAUACCGCAUAACAAUAGAGAAGGCAUCUUCUUUAUUUAAAAGGCGCUUUCAAGCGUCACUAUCAGAUGGGCCCGCGGUGCGUUAGUUAGUUGGUGGGGUGAAGGCCUACCAAGACGAUGAUGCAUAGCCGAGUUGAGAGACUGAUCGGCCACAUUGGGACUGAGACACGGCCCAAACUCCUACGGGAGGCUGCAGUAGGGAAUCUUCCACAAUGGACGAAAGUCUGAUGGAGCAACGCCGCGUGUGUGAUGAAGGCUUUCGGGUCGUAAAGCACUGUUGUAUGGGAAGAAAUGCUAGGCUAGGAAAUGAGCUUAGUUUGACGGUACCAUACCAGAAAGGGACGGCUAAAUACGUGCCAGCCGCCGCGGUAA